CCGCCCCCCCUUGCCAAAACGCGACGAUCGCAGAAGUAGCCGAGAGGAGAAAUCAUCGACUCGUCGACAGCCGCUGACCGAUACGCCCCCUCCCCGAACCCCAAUCGUCACAGGCCCAGGUCAUCAAGCCCCUCAACGGCGACCCCUUCAUCGGUAUGCUCGAGACCCCCGUGACGUCCGCGCCCAUCGUCGCCAACUUCCUCUCCAACCUCCCCGCGUACCGAACCGGCGUGAGCCCCCUCACCCGCGGCGUCGAGGUUGGCCUGGCGCACGGCUUCUUCCUCACCGGCCCCUUCAUCAAGCUCGGCCCGCUCCGCUCCACCGACGCCGCCGAGCUCGCGGGUUGCCUCUCCGGCGCCGGCCUCGUGCUCAUCCUCACCGCGUGCCUCUCCAUCUACGGCGCCACCGCCUUUCAGACCCCGGAUGUCGUCGGCGUGAAGACCCUCUCCGGCCGCGACAUUGCGCGCGAUCCGGUGCAGUCCUCCGAGGGCUGGGCGAAGUUCACC
This 506-nucleotide long non-coding RNA is filed under the name Micromonas commoda. Its description in RNAcentral is "long non-coding RNA (MCOM_LNC000347)". Lineage: Eukaryota; Viridiplantae; Chlorophyta; Mamiellophyceae; Mamiellales; Mamiellaceae. The record is from RNAcentral.